This 425-nucleotide ribosomal RNA is filed under the name uncultured bacterium. RNAcentral describes it as "bacterial SSU rRNA". It matches the Rfam family "Bacterial small subunit ribosomal RNA", at positions 354 to 772 of the family's 1533-position model. The record is from RNAcentral.
GUGGGGAAUCUUGGACAAUGGGGGCAACCCUGAUCCAGCGACGCCGCGUGUGUGAAGAAGGCCUUCGGGUUGUAAACCGCUUUCAGGAGGGACGAAGCCACUCGGGUUAAUAGCCCAGAGGGUGACGGUACCUCCAGAAGACGCCCCGGCUAACUACGUGCCAGCAGCCGCGGUAAUACGUAGGGGGCAAGCGUUGUCCGGAUUCAUUGGGCGUAAAGAGCGGGUGGGCGGUCAGGUAGGUCGGUUGUGAAAACUGGAGGCUCAACCUUCAGAGUUCGACCGAAACCCCCUGGCUAGAGUCCGGGAGAGGAGAGUGGAAUUCCUGGUGUAGCGGUGAAAUGCGCAGAUAUCAGGAAGAACACCCGUGGCGAAAGCGGCUCUCUGGAACGGUACUGACGCUGAGACGCGAAAGCGUGGGGAGCGAA